This 491-nucleotide ribosomal RNA is filed under the name uncultured bacterium. RNAcentral's name for it is "partial 16S ribosomal RNA". It matches the Rfam family "Bacterial small subunit ribosomal RNA", at positions 29 to 506 of the family's 1533-position model. The record is from RNAcentral.
AGUGAACGCUGGCGGUAGGCCUAACACAUGCAAGUCGAACGGCAGCACAGUAAGAGCUUGCUCUUACGGGUGGCGAGUGGCGGACGGGUGAGGAAUACAUCGGAAUCUACUUUUUCGUGGGGGAUAACGUAGGGAAACUUACGCUAAUACCGCAUACGACCUACGGGUGAAAGCAGGGGAUCUUCGGACCUUGCGCGAUUGAAUGAGCCGAUGUCGGAUUAGCUAGUUGGCGGGGUAAAGGCCCACCAAGGCGACGAUCCGUAGCUGGUCUGAGAGGAUGAUCAGCCACACUGGAACUGAGACACGGUCCAGACUCCUACGGGAGGCAGCAGUGGGGAAUAUUGGACAAUGGGCGCAAGCCUGAUCCAGCCAUACCGCGUGGGUGAAGAAGGCCUUCGGGUUGUAAAGCCCUUCUGUUGGGAAAGAAAAGCAGCAGGUUAAUACCCCGCUGUUCUGACGGUACCCAAAGAAUAAGCACCGGCUAACUUCGU